UACGGAGGGGGCUAGCGUUGUUCGGAAUUACUGGGCGUAAAGCGCACGUAGGCGGCUUUGUAAGUUAGAGGUGAAAGCCCAGGGCUCAACCCUGGAAUUGCCUUUAAGACUGCAUCGCUUGAACAUCGGAGAGGUAAGUGGAAUUCCGAGUGUAGAGGUGAAAUUCGUAGAUAUCUGGAGGAACACCGGUGGCGAAGGCGGCAUCCUGGACCGGCAUUGACGCUGAGGAGCGAAAGCCAGGGGAGCAAACGGG
This 253-nucleotide ribosomal RNA is filed under the name uncultured bacterium. RNAcentral's name for it is "partial 16S ribosomal RNA". It matches the Rfam family "Bacterial small subunit ribosomal RNA", at positions 524 to 776 of the family's 1533-position model. The record is from RNAcentral.